UACGAAGGGCGCUAGCGUUGUUCGGAAUUACUGGGCGUAAAGCGCAUGCAGGCGGAUCGUUAAGUCGGGGGUGAAAUCCCAGGGCUCAACCCUGGAACUGCCUUCGAUACUGGCGACCUUGAGUCCGGGAGAGGUGAGUGGAACUCCGAGUGUAGAGGUGAAAUUCGUAGAUAUUCGGAAGAACACCAGUGGCGAAGGCGGCUCACUGGCCCGGUACUGACGCUGAGAUGCGAAAGCGUGGGGAGCAAACAGG
This 253-nucleotide ribosomal RNA is filed under the name uncultured bacterium. RNAcentral's name for it is "partial 16S ribosomal RNA". It matches the Rfam family "Bacterial small subunit ribosomal RNA", at positions 524 to 776 of the family's 1533-position model. The record is from RNAcentral.